This 1859-nucleotide long non-coding RNA is filed under the name Durio zibethinus. RNAcentral describes it as "long non-coding RNA (DZIB_LNC001356)". Lineage: Eukaryota; Viridiplantae; Streptophyta; Magnoliopsida; Malvales; Malvaceae. The record is from RNAcentral.
UUCUCUUUCUUGUUGCAGUACUUCUGAUCUACGUAACUAAUAUAAGAACCCGAGGUGUCUGAACAAGCGAAACUCGCAUUUUUCUUAUACACAGGCUGGUGUUUCUAUCUCUUUUGAUGAUACAUUGCUGCAAGCAAGGAAAUUGAACCGAAAAUUCCCCAAAAAGGCUGAGGCAGUUCCAUUUAGGCAAAUCUUUUCUUGCUUUGGUUUCUUUCAUUUCUUUUGUGAUGAAUCUCAUUUUGCCAGGCUUACAACUCUGUUUGCUGUAAUAAAACUUUGAAUGAUAGGAAGAAAAAGGAGAAGGAAAAAGUGAAAUUGGGAACAGUCCAAGCAAAGCUGACAGCAUAAAUGGAACUCUGGAACUUAGAGCAAAAUCCUGGAGAUCUUAAGCUGUAGAUAUGGCUUACCAGAAAGAGGAAAAGAAAAGUGAUUUGGGUCAUAUUCAGUUUAUGAUUUGCAUUUACGUUCCAUGUGGUUCAUUUCUGCUGUAAACUUUGAUUGCACUGCUCCGAACCGAUUCACUUUUUUCUUAUCCUUUUUCUUCUAAUCAUUAAAUAUCUUUGAUACUGCAUACACAAAGGAAGAUCUUCAGUUUAAGGUAUUCUCUCUUGAACUUUCGGUUCACUUUCCGUUCCCUGCAAACAUCAGAAUCAAACCAUCAGUUUUGAAGUGAAGAUCAUCUUUUGAAACAGGGUAAGAGGAUUUAAAGGAUUUAUGUAUAGGUUAUUUUCUUAAGUUUUGUCAACUACUUUUUUAGUUUCUUUUUUUUUUUUUUGGGGGGGGGGGGGGGUGGGGGGGGGGGUGGGGUUUGGCAUGCCUAUGAUUUGUGACAAGUGGUGGUAUUUGGCUGGGAAAGAGUUCCUCUGUUUAAAAAGCAGAACAAAUGAUAAUUUUGGAACAUGUUAAUAUGUCAAUUUUUUGGAACAUUGCAUUUGGGACAAUGGAUUUUACUUUUGAUUUGUUAUAUAAAUUGUAAGCAUAACAUAUUAUAUAUAAAUUAUUUAUAUGUUUAUAAUGAUUAAAAUUGUGACUAUGUUUUUCAAACUCAUUGGUAUUACAAAUGUCAUAUAGUAAUCUGACUGUAAAUUUCAAAUUUGUAAUUUAUUAGUAGUAAUGAGAAUAACAACAAUGGUUUAUAGGAGCCGGAGUUAAAAGAGUAAACAAAAUCGAUACAACUUAGAGUUGUUUUUUUUUUUUAAAUGGUUUAUGCCUGAAUUAAAAGAAAGAUAUAUUCAAAGAGUCGGCAAUAGGUCUGUCCACCAUUCGAGGUCUCGUCACGUCCUAGGCAAGAUUUUCUGUGCUUGGACCAGUUCGAUACGACUUUUGCGAUUGGACGACCAAGCCUUUUUGUAAGUAAGCAUUAAGAAGGGUCAAUUAGACCUAGCCCGACCCAACUAUCUAUGAACGCUUCUAGUGCAUAAUUAAAUUAUUCGAAGAAUUAUUGUUAUGAAUAAUUUUAAUAUUAUAACAAAAUAUUUAAUAUAAUAUUUAAAUAUUAAAAUUUUUUAAUAUAAUAUUAAAAUUAUAAAUUUAUUGAUUAAUAUUAUAUUUAAAUAAUUUUUUAUUCAUCACGUAUAGAUUAUUUAAAAUUAAUUAUAUUAAAAAUAAAUAUCAUAUUAAUUAAUAUAUUUAUAAUUUAAAUAUUAUAUUAAACCUUUCAUGAGAUUAUUUAUGAUGCCAGCCUAACUAAAAGAGUAAGAAACUUUAUUCUUUUUUCUCUUACCUCAACUGCGAGCUGAAGCAGUGCUUCUUUCCCGUUUUUUAAAUCUCUGUAGAAGGUGGAUUCCAUCUUGUGUGUUUAUCCACCCUUCUUUCCUGUUUUUCCUGGCCGUUUUUAAAUUCCUUUAUGUAAUUUGUAG